Molecule: long non-coding RNA, 762 nt
Organism: Perca fluviatilis (European perch)
Lineage: Eukaryota; Metazoa; Chordata; Actinopteri; Perciformes; Percidae
Exons: 3
Source: RefSeq, a predicted model, not a curated record
CGGAAGUACGUUGCACUUCCGGGUUGUGCUCACUGCUGUGAUUUGUCUGUUCUGGCGUCAGAUCGUCGGCUGGCAGGUCCAUCCCCCCUCCUUGCCGAGGUAACGCAGUAAUGCAAAGAGAGUAGCACUGAUAGCUGUCUGUGCACGUUGCAUGUUUCGAGCGUUUUCUCCUCUGGAUCGACUCAAACGCUGCCUGAACGUGAUCGGACUGAAGCUGCUGGAGAGUCUAGUUAGCCGGAGCAUUUCAAUCACCGGCUGCUGUUUGUUUUCACCUACACACGAUUUUACUACAGACUACUAUUUGAACUGUGGACUGUUUUGAGGCACACGAUCCAAACAUUCGCUGCCGCAGCUGAAGAGGCUUGCUGUGGGGCCACUGAGCAACUGUUGUUUGGCCACUGCUACGUGGGCCUGAGUUUUUAAUGGGUUAGCCCUCCCUACAUUAAUGGAGUGAAUUAAGUUGUUUAUUUCUCUUUUUGUUAUUUUUGUUUUCAACUUAGUUAAAAGUUACGUGUGUUAGUUUUCUUUUUUACUAUUGAGUUUAUUUCUUUAUUAGUAGUUUUUUUGAGUUUCUUUUGUUUUGUUUCAGUUGUUUUGUUCUAAUUAUGAUAAUUAUUAUUGGUAUUGUUUUGAUUUGACAAGUGUCUUUUGUUGUUUGGAAUUGAUAUCUUGUGUUAAGUUUCUUUUAUUUUGCUCUUUUUAUUUGUUUAUUUUCAAUAUUGUUUUGACUCUAGGUUGGGGAGUGAACCCCUUUUUUUUUUG